RNAcentral lists this unclassified non-coding RNA (631 nucleotides) under Hevea brasiliensis (rubber tree). The record is from RNAcentral. Lineage: Eukaryota; Viridiplantae; Streptophyta; Magnoliopsida; Malpighiales; Euphorbiaceae.
GUCCUUCACUUCUCAUCUUCUUGAUGGUUCUGCUAAAGAGAAGAGGAAACGGGGAGGCGGUUAUGCAGAAAAUAAAUUCCCUCUAGAGGAUGCAAUUACCUCAGAAGCUACCGUGGAUGAAGGUGACGAUGGGAAACUUUUAACGCCUGAACCUACAGAUGAUGGUGAUGAGAUUGUUCUUGAUAGCAAGGAUGAAAAGAGAAAGAAAAAGAGAGAGAGAAAGCAAGUCGAUGAUCUUCGGUUUGAAAUGGAGAAGACAAAAACCAGUGAGAAAAGGCGGGAGCGCAAGAAAAAGUAUAUGGAAGCAAAGAAGAAGAAACGCCAAAAAUCCAAAAUAGAAGAGAAUUUGGACUUUCCUGGACGUGAACAGAUAAAAUUUGGAGAUGUUGUCCAAGCUCCACCAAAAUUGGUUGCUGUUCCUAAGGUUCUGAAGAAUGCCCCAGAUGCUUCACAAGAAAGGGUUCGGUUACGGGCUAUUGAGGAAUACAGGAAACGCAAAGGAUGGACCUCUAGACCAGGGCUUCAACUUCCUACUGUGACUGCUACACAUUUGUUGUAAUUGGUCGGAUCCUAUUGCUUCUUAUGUCAAUGUCUCUUUAUGUUUGUAGGACCAUCACAUCUUAAUGUAGGG